AGAGUUUGAUCCUGGCUCAGGACGAACGCUGGCGGCGUGCCUAAUACAUGCAAGUCGAACGCUUCUUUUUCCACCGGAGCUUGCUCCACCGGAAAAAGAGGAGUGGCGAACGGGUGAGUAACACGUGGGUAACCUGCCCAUCAGAAGGGGAUAACACUUGGAAACAGGUGCUAAUACCGUAUAACAAUCGAAACCGCAUGGUUUUGAUUUGAAAGGCGCUUUCGGGUGUCGCUGAUGGAUGGACCCGCGGUGCAUUAGCUAGUUGGUGAGGUAACGGCUCACCAAGGCCACGAUGCAUAGCCGACCUGAGAGGGUGAUCGGCCACAUUGGGACUGAGACACGGCCCAAACUCCUACGGGAGGCAGCAGUAGGGAAUCUUCGGCAAUGGACGAAAGUCUGACCGAGCAACGCCGCGUGAGUGAAGAAGGUUUUCGGAUCGUAAAACUCUGUUGUUAGAGAAGAACAAGGAUGAGAGUAACUGUUCAUCCCUUGACGGUAUCUAACCAGAAAGCCACGGCUAACUACGUGCCAGCAGCCGCGGUAAUACGUAGGUGGCAAGCGUUGUCCGGAUUUAUUGGGCGUAAAGCGAGCGCAGGCGGUUU
RNAcentral lists this ribosomal RNA (602 nucleotides) under Enterococcus faecium E4453. RNAcentral's name for it is "bacterial SSU rRNA". It matches the Rfam family "Bacterial small subunit ribosomal RNA", at positions 8 to 581 of the family's 1533-position model. Lineage: Bacteria; Bacillati; Bacillota; Bacilli; Lactobacillales; Enterococcaceae. The record is from RNAcentral.